AAGGCUCAACUUGGGCUUGCAGUGGGUACGGGCAGACUAGAGUGCGGUAGGGGUGACUGGAAUUCCUGGUGUAGCGGUGGAAUGCGCAGAUAUCAGGAGGAACACCGAUGGCGAAGGCAGGUCACUGGGCCGCAACUGACGCUGAGGAGCGAAAGCAUGGGGAGCGAACAGGAUUAGAUACCCUGGUAGUCCAUGCCGUAAACGUUGGGCACUAGGUGUGGGGCUCAUUCCACGAGUUCCGUGCCGCAGCAAACGCAUUAAGUGCCCCGCCUGGGGAGUACGGCCGCAAGGCUAAAACUCAAAGAAAUUGACGGGGGCCCGCACAAGCGGCGGAGCAUGCGGAUUAAUUCGAUGCAACGCGAAGAACCUUACCAAGGCUUGACAUACACCGGAAAAGUGCAGAGAUGUGCUCCCCGCAAGGUCGGUGUACAGGUGGUGCAUGGUUGUCGUCAGCUCGUGUCGUGAGAUGUUGGGUUAAGUCCCGCAACGAGCGCAACCCUCGUCCCAUGUUGCCAGCGGGUAGUGCCGGGGACUCAUGGGAGACUGCCGGGGUCAACUCGGAGGAAGGUGGGGAUGACGUCAAAUCAUCAUGCCCCUUAUGUCUUGGGCUUCACGCAUGCUACAAUGGCCGGUACAAAGGGCUGCGAUGCCGCGAGGUGGAGCGAAUCCCAAAAAGCCGGUCUCAGUUCGGAUUGGGGUAUGCAACUCGACCCUAUGAAGUGGG
Molecule: ribosomal RNA, 724 nt
Filed under: Cellulomonas aerilata
Lineage: Bacteria; Bacillati; Actinomycetota; Actinomycetes; Micrococcales; Cellulomonadaceae
Description: bacterial SSU rRNA
Rfam family: Bacterial small subunit ribosomal RNA
Source: RNAcentral